RNAcentral lists this ribosomal RNA (252 nucleotides) under uncultured bacterium. RNAcentral describes it as "partial 16S ribosomal RNA". It matches the Rfam family "Bacterial small subunit ribosomal RNA", at positions 524 to 776 of the family's 1533-position model. The record is from RNAcentral.
UACGGAGGAUGCGAGCGUUAUCCGGAUUUAUUGGGUUUAAAGGGUGCGUAGGCGGAAUAUCAAGUCAGCGGUAAAAAUUCGAGGCUCAACCCCGUCGUGCCGUUGAAACUGAUGUUCUUGAGUGGGCGAGAAGUAUGCGGAAUGCGUGGUGUAGCGGUGAAAUGCAUAGAUAUCACGCAGAACUCCGAUUGCGAAGGCAGCAUACCGGCGCCCAACUGACGCUGAAGCACGAAAGCGUGGGUAUCGAACAGG